CAAAUGCACGUACGUACCACUUGAUUGUCCAAUGGCUUCCUAUAACUGGAGUGUCUACUGGCUUCCCAAGAUCUUCUUCCAGCGAUGGCUGAGAUUAAAAUGGAUUGUGCAAUGACGCUCUGCGGACCAAGAAACCUUGCGCUUGCUUGAAGUGUCAUCCGGUCUCAUGUCACCUGUCAUCAGGGUAUACAACACACCACCAUCACAUCAUUUCAAACUCGGACUGCUCUGAUGGAACUAUACUCUCAGACCUAGACAAUAUAAUAAUGCUCUCAGAUGUCUCAAAAAAACUAGAGCUUAUUAUAUGGAUAUGAAAAUUUAGUUUUCGACAAUGCUACAAGAUACUAAAGGAUUGGUUUCUAAGCCUUGGUUUGCAUCCUAAAUUGCCUCGUAUAGCUUAUGUGAUUAAUAUAAAAGAAUAUCGAGAGGCUUUUAACAGCAAAACAAGGAAUAAAUGAAAGGUGGAAUAGUACAUACUGAAUGGGCUACAAUGAAAUUAAGACAAAUUGUGAAUAUUGAGAAUGAAGAUGUUGGAAGUAUCUCGAUAAAAAAAAUAUCAGAGCUUAAUAAUGCUCAACUAUAAUUCUAAUAGUUGUUUGUUAGCAAAAAAAAAAUAUAAUUGUAUUUGAAAAUUGUCAUCCCAAUUUGGAAUUAUGUAAUAAAGUUUAUGUAUAUUGGUGUGUCGGUAUA
Molecule: long non-coding RNA, 690 nt
Organism: Ctenocephalides felis (cat flea)
Lineage: Eukaryota; Metazoa; Arthropoda; Insecta; Siphonaptera; Pulicidae
Exons: 3
Source: RefSeq, a predicted model, not a curated record